Microcebus murinus (gray mouse lemur) is the source of this 1261-nucleotide non-coding RNA. The record is from RefSeq and is a predicted model, not a curated record. Lineage: Eukaryota; Metazoa; Chordata; Mammalia; Primates; Cheirogaleidae.
CCCCUCUGCCUGAAGAUGGGGCCCCUCUGAGACCUCCAGCCAAGGGCUCUGCAGGGCUCCUCACACUGUAGUGUGUCCAUGAACCACGUGGGGAGUGUGCGGAAAUGCAGCUUCUGAUUCCCUGCGUGGGGCUGGGGCGGGACCUGAGAUUCUGCAUUUCCAACCAGUGCCCAGGUGAUGCGGAUGCUGCCGGUCCAGGAACCACAUCUGAGCAGCAAGGAUUUCGACCAGCGCUGCGCAACUGAAAUACCCUGUGGAAUCCGCCUCUAACACAGACAAAUACAUAGAUCACAGCUUAAUAGAACUGACCAAAGAGCACUAAAUCUCGCCAGGACCAGUACCAGGUCAGGAAAGCCUCACCUGCAGCCGACCCAUUGCUGGAGGCUCCGUGUAGAUAAGUCUGAGAGUUAAACACUCCAAGAAGGCCCACUGGGAGGGGGACUCACACUUUUGUGAGUUUUACCUCUAGGAGUCCUACCAGGUUCUUAUAGGGACUACUGGAGAAUAAUCCCCCUCGUGUCUCCCACAUGGUGAUGGGAAACAAGCCCUGUUCUUCCUAACAGGGCCCCUCAUGAGAAACUAUUUCACCAGGGCCUGACCCACUGGGCUCCAUCAGCGCCUGAAUGUCUUAGGAGAAGAGAAAUUCCCAACCCUAGCCCACUUUUUCCAUUCUGUUCCACCCAAAGGGGUGGCAGAGGAGACUGAGAAGCACCUGGGAAGGUCACAGCUCAGGGGCACAGGCUCCCCAAGAGACUGAGACUUACUGUGGAAUUACAGAAUGACUCCCUUCCCCCCACCAACAUAUGGUCACACCGUUUAAAGGCCCCUUCACUGGUGCUCCUUUUACCCAGGACAUCAUGUCUGGCUUUCAACAAAAAUUACAAGGCACACUAAAAGGCAAAAUCAAAACAAAGUAAAAUCACAGUUUCAAAAGAUAAAUCAAAUAUCAGGUCUGGAUUCAGAUAUGGCAAGAAUGUUGGAAUUAUCACACUGGAAAUUAAGAGCUACUAGGAUAAAUAUGCCAAGGGGUCUAAUGAAGACAGCCAACAGUAUGCAAGAACAGAUGUUCCAUCUUCUUUCAUAAGAAAGAUGGAACUUCUAAAAAAGAAUAAAAAUGAAAUGCUAGAGAUCAGAAACAGAGAAACAGAAAUGAAGAAUGCCUUUGACGGGCUCAUUACUAGACUGGACACAGAUGAGGAAAGAAUCUCUGGGCUUGAGGAUAUGCCAGCAGAAACUUCCAAAACUGAGAAGAAAGAGGAUU